GAAGUCGUAACAAGGUAGCCGUAGGGGAACCUGCGGCUGGAUCACCUCCUUUCUAAGGAUGUUUCUAGUCAGAUAAGCUUGCUUAUCUCGUGAAACACUUAGCAACGAUCAGCAAACAAAGCUGGUCAACAUUCGGGCAUCAUAGAUGACCCGCGAGCCAGACUGCCCUCAUAUCUCUUCAGACAUACGAACUUGCCAGCGGGCAGGUUCAGCAAGGGGCCUUAGCUCAGCUGGGAGAGCGCCUGAUUUGCAUUCAGGAGGUCAGGAGUUCGAUCCUCCUAGGCUCCACCAAGCUUAAGUCACCUUGACAACCACAUUUAGCGGCAGAAAUGUUGGCAAGUUCGGUGACAUAACCACCGGGUGAUGCUCUCGGCAGACUUUGCUUCACAAAGUCGCCUGCCGCACACAGGUUUUGUUUUGCUUUGCAAAACAAAAACCGGGUCGGUAGCUCAGGUGGUUAGAGCGCACGCCUGAUAAGCGUGAGGUCGGAGGUUCAAGUCCUCCUCGACCCACCAUCCUUCAGAAGAACAUAUCUUCAAGCAGUGAGAUCACUGUUUGAACAUCUGUUCUCAGAUGAAAUUGACAUCGUUUAGAGAGAAUACAAUCAACAACACUGUUGGUCCCCCAAGUGCGGGUGUGACCUCAUGUGGGUGCUGAUGAAGAUCUUCGGAUCUUUUGAUGCAAGCGUUGGACCGGUCAUGUUUCCUCAGACCCCCAGCGUAUGCCGAUAUGAAAAGACAGAGUUGUCCAAGUCAAGUACACUAACCCGCAUGAUUUAACCGUCAUGCAAAUGUUCGCUUCACCGACAUGAAGCGAGCGGGAAAGUAUGCUUUUGUACCAGAAAGACAAGUCACAGUUUCUUACCAGCUUCUGUGAUCGAAAGUGGCCCUCAAGUAGCGCUUUGCGCGGUAGGGCAGACAUAAGUCAACACUCUCUCUUUCUG
This 943-nucleotide unclassified non-coding RNA is filed under the name Epibacterium ulvae. RNAcentral's name for it is "contains 16S ribosomal RNA and 16S-23S ribosomal RNA intergenic spacer". The stretch from base 439 to 512 matches the Rfam family "tRNA". Lineage: Bacteria; Pseudomonadati; Pseudomonadota; Alphaproteobacteria; Rhodobacterales; Roseobacteraceae. The record is from RNAcentral.